UACGGAGGGGACUAGCGUUGUUCGGAAUUACUGGGCGUAAAGCGCACGUAGGCGGAUUGUUAAGUGAGGGGUGAAAUCCCGGGGCUCAACCCCGGAACUGCCUCUCAUACUGGCAAUCUCGAGUCCGGAAGAGGUGAGUGGAAUUCCGAGUGUAGAGGUGAAAUUCGUAGAUAUUCGGAGGAACACCAGUGGCGAAGGCGGCUCACUGGUCCGGAACUGACGCUGAGGUGCGAAAGCGUGGGGAGCAAGCAGG
RNAcentral lists this unclassified non-coding RNA (253 nucleotides) under uncultured Alphaproteobacteria bacterium. RNAcentral describes it as "contains 16S-23S intergenic spacer region". It matches the Rfam family "Bacterial small subunit ribosomal RNA", at positions 524 to 776 of the family's 1533-position model. Lineage: Bacteria; Pseudomonadati; Pseudomonadota; Alphaproteobacteria. The record is from RNAcentral.